Molecule: long non-coding RNA, 620 nt
Organism: Pleuronectes platessa (European plaice)
Lineage: Eukaryota; Metazoa; Chordata; Actinopteri; Pleuronectiformes; Pleuronectidae
Exons: 3
Source: RefSeq, a predicted model, not a curated record
GGACAUGACGUGUGGCUGUCGUAAAAACCCUAUUUGUAAACAACCAGUCCUUUUAACUCGGGGCUGCGUCAUAAACACGGAGCGCUUGGAAGACCACGAUGUCAUCUUCCUUCUGUCAGGAGGAUCAAAGUGAAGCUACAGGAGUUUCAUUAACGUCAAUAACUUGGACCGAACACUUUGUUUUGCUUGAUGAAGAGCAGGAAGGGCAGCCUGGAGAGAAAGAGAAGCCGGGUUGAGCCCACUACCAUCAUCCACGUACCACGAGGAAGAUGAGGGAGAGAAAUGAUCCUACCAUUAAAGAGACUGUGAAAAGAACGUUGAGAACAUCACCACUCUACAGGAAGACACAGUCCAGUAAUGGGUGUCAGAAUUUCAGUAGUGAACGACAGGUACUGUGGGAAAAUGUGUGUCAUUGUUGUACAAUGUCCUUUGACUCUGUUUACACAAGGUUAACACAAAAAGGUUUGAUUGUAAACUGAUAUUGGUAUGAAUUCAUGUUAUUCUCCUCUUCACAAGAAACAAACAAUCCAAAUUACCUGCAGAAAGCCCUUGAUGGACGCUUCAGCUGCAUCGUCAGACUGGUGAGACAGCAAGAUGCCAACUUUAAUGCCAAUUUAUUU